CAAGCUGGCUUUCUGUAGACUACAAACUCAAAAUUAUUGUUUACUACUUUAAGACAUCUAGGAAAUGUAUAGAAUUGUUUGAAGCUUGGUCUAAGAUCAUUUAAGUCCUAAGGUGUUAUCAGACAGGCAUCAAUGAGCUCUGAAGAUUUAUGGAAGGAAGAAAAUCAAACACAGAUAUCAUCAAUGUAUCUAGUAAAAGAUAAAAUUGGGGACAAGAAUGAAGGCAAAACUUUUAUUUCUCUGAAAUGCAAAAUCAACUCUGCCAUUACUUCAGCCAUUGACCUGCCCAAAAAACAUACCUCUGAAUUGAAAAUAAAACUCAUAAGACAAAAAAACAUUGCCUAUCUUAUUUCUUGCGAGUUGUGUAUUUGGUUAUCUAUGCCAUAUGAGAAUCUAUAGAGGAUCAAAUAUACUAGCACUGCUUUCAGCAAAGGAUAUAAUUUAGCAUAAUCAUAUAUUGUAAACUUACUAUGUGAG
Molecule: long non-coding RNA, 477 nt
Filed under: Androctonus crassicauda
Lineage: Eukaryota; Metazoa; Arthropoda; Arachnida; Scorpiones; Buthidae
Source: RNAcentral